CAUGCCGUAAACGAUGCUGACUAGGUGUUGCGGGUUUGAACCCCUGCAGUGCCGAAGCCAACGCGAUAAGUCAGCCACCUGGGGACUACGGCCGCAAGGUUAAAACUCAAAGGAAUUGACGGGGGCCCGCACAAGCAGCGGAGCGUGUGGUUUAAUUCGAGGCUACACGAAGAACCUUACCUGGGCUUGACAUGGCGGUGGUAGGGAACCGAAAGGGGACCGACCUUCGGGAGCCGUCACAGGUGC
Molecule: ribosomal RNA, 246 nt
Filed under: uncultured bacterium
Lineage: Bacteria
Description: partial 16S ribosomal RNA
Rfam family: Bacterial small subunit ribosomal RNA
Source: RNAcentral